Molecule: ribosomal RNA, 110 nt
Filed under: Phascolarctos cinereus (koala)
Lineage: Eukaryota; Metazoa; Chordata; Mammalia; Diprotodontia; Phascolarctidae
Source: RNAcentral
GCCAAUAUUCCUACCAAUCUAAAGACAACAGAUCUCACUUGAUCUGAAAAGCUAAGUAGACUUGGGUCAGGUUAUUAUUUGGAUAGAUUACCACGGAAUGCUGGGUGGCA